RNAcentral lists this ribosomal RNA (431 nucleotides) under uncultured bacterium. RNAcentral's name for it is "partial 16S ribosomal RNA". It matches the Rfam family "Bacterial small subunit ribosomal RNA", at positions 29 to 506 of the family's 1533-position model. The record is from RNAcentral.
ACGAACGCUGGCGGCAUGCCUAACACAUGCAAGUCGCACGAGACCUUCGGGUCUAGUGGCGCACGGGUGCGUCACGCGUGGGAACCUGCCCUUAGGUUCGGAAUAACUCCCCGAAAGGGGUGCUAAUACCGGAUAAUGUCUUCGGACCAAAGAUUUAUCGCCUUUGGAUGGGCCCGCGUUGGAUUAGCUAGUUGGUAGGGUAAAAGCCUACCAAGGCGACGAUCCAUAGCUGGUCUGAGAGGAUGAUCAGCCACACUGGGACUGAGACACGGCCCAGACUCCUACGGGAGGCAGCAGUGGGGAAUAUUGGACAAUGGGCGAAAGCCUGAUCCAGCAAUGCCGCGUGAGUGAUGAAGGCCUUAGGGUUGUAAAGCUCUUUUACCCGGGAUGAUAAUGACAGUACCGGGAGAAUAAGCUCCGGCUAACUCCGU